AAUUUUGAAGGGCCGCAGUAUCUUGACUGUGCAAAGGUAGCAUAAUCAUUUGCCUUUUAAUUAGAGGCUAGUAUGAAUGGUCGGACGAAAUACAAACUGUCUCAUUUUAAUAAUUUUAAAAAUUUAGCUUUCAAGUUAAAAGGCUUGAAUAUUAUUAGAGGACGAGAAGACCCUAUAGAACUUUAUAUAAACUUAGAUAAUUUUAUUUAGAAAAAUAUUUUUUAUUUAUUUAAGAUUUAUAUUUUGUUGGGGUGACAGGAAAAUAAAGUUAACUUUUUUAAUUUUAAAACAUUGAUUUAUGAAUUUUUGAUCCAUUAUUAUUGAUUAUUAGAAUAAGUUACCUUAGGGAUAACAGCGUAAUUUUGUUGGAGAGUUCAAAUCUAUAACAAAGUUUGCGACCUCGAUGUUGAAUUAAAGAAAUUUUAGA
RNAcentral lists this ribosomal RNA (427 nucleotides) under Myrmeleon fasciatus. RNAcentral describes it as "partial 16S ribosomal RNA". It matches the Rfam family "Bacterial large subunit ribosomal RNA", at positions 1919 to 2552 of the family's 2925-position model. The record is from RNAcentral. Lineage: Eukaryota; Metazoa; Arthropoda; Insecta; Neuroptera; Myrmeleontidae.